GACGCUGGUGGGAGGCUAAAGUUCGACAGGGAUUAAUUGCUAAGACAGACAGCAGACAUCUGUGUCAUGGGAAAUGGAAACUGUUUGAGGCUUAAUUUAUAUCAAGGGAAGAUCUGACUUGCACACUGAACUUUUUGUUCUGCGUUCAGAAGUUUCUCUGGGUUCUAAGGGGCAAAAAUUCUGCUUUCUGUGUGAUGUUUUUCAGUUAAGGUAAAUGAUAUUGAAGCUGAAACCUUGAAGAAGUUCAAUGAGUUGGUAAAAGAAAAGAAGAUUGAAGAUAAAAAUGUUUUGAAGAUCAUUGAGACUGGUAAUGGAAUUAUACUUUUUCCUAAAUAUAUAAUUUCCUUGACAUGUAAAUAUACUAACAGAAAACAAAUCAAUUUAUUCAAAUUUUCUUUGUUCAUAGAUAAAGCUUUUCAUAAUCCCUUAUUUAAAAAAAAAUAAAAACAGCCUUGGAAAUCCAGGGAAAUGGUAGUAAUUGGUGGAUCAUUUCUUUCUGUCCUUUUGAUUUUCCACUAGAUGAGUGUCCUCCCUGUGCAAAACUACAGAGUUCAAAACAAGCUGAGUAAAGAGUCACUGAGACCAGACACGUCAUCUUCUGCGCGGAAUCAAGAUCAACAACAUGAAGACGACUUUCCUGGUUCCUGAUGAAUGUGAUCCUUCUCUCUUCACACUCAUACUUCCUCUCC
RNAcentral lists this long non-coding RNA (689 nucleotides) under Bos indicus x Bos taurus (hybrid cattle). RNAcentral describes it as "lncRNA (ENSBIXG00000029617.1)". The record is from RNAcentral. Lineage: Eukaryota; Metazoa; Chordata; Mammalia; Artiodactyla; Bovidae.